AAAUUUAUCAAAUUUUUAUUUUUUAUUUUCUUCAAAAAAAAAAAGUGCCUAGGGACACAUUUUAAUCUAUAUAUUUUUGCACAUGCUCAAUAAAUGGCAUUUUUGAAGAGUGCACAUGUGCAUAAAUGCCUGAGGGAACCUCAGAGUAUGACGUAAGAGGGAACCCGCGAUAAAUCAAACUUUAAAUAAAGAAAAACAACAGGGAACAAAAAAAUAGUAAAUUAGUCAUUAGGUGCCAUGUUCAAUACAGCAGUGUCUCAAAUCUCAAACCAAUUAAAUAGGAUAAGUUAUUACUCCCACUUGCAUAUGAUGUCAUUAACAAUUGCCUAAUAUUGUUGAACUAAUGUGGUUCAAACGACGGAGAUGCGACAGUAUCUGGGAAACAGUCAUGACUAGCUAGUUUGUCUCCACAUCAAUGCAUUGUACUAUGGUGGUUAAUCAGAGAGUUACAUUGUUGUAUGGGAAAUGCACCCCUGAAGAGAUUAAAGCCAGAUUUGGGGAUAGCUUUUUUGUUUUGUUUUCUGCUGAAUGGGCAACAUUUCAGUAGCUCAGUAGGUAGCUAGCAAACAUUAGUGUACUUGUUAGCUGAAUUCAGAUAGGUAUUGCAUAUCUUUCUUUUUUUCUUCUUCCUGUUUUGAUAUAGUCAGUGAGGUAAAUUGCACUUAUUUUCUGCUAGCUAUGAAAGAUUCAAUUCUACUCUGUGUCACUUGGUCAGAACAAAAGCAGAAGAUACAGUAUAUGCUAGUAGAACGUACUGUACUUCUUACUGUCAUGUCGAUGUACAAUGGUAGAUCCACUCUGAUGUGAUGAUCAUAAAUUUGCAGGAUUGUUCACCCCAAAAUUAAACUUUUGCAUGUUUUUUUGUCCCCAGUUUUGGUCCCCACUGACAUCCAUAGCAUGGCAAAAAUACUGUGGAAGUCAAUGGAAACCAAAACAGUUUGGAGUAGCGAAGUACACAGGUGCCCAGAUGGGAACAUGCAGAGAGCAGUAAAUCAUGGACCUGUUGUGAGUGAAGAAAAGAGAGGCAACUCUUAGUAUCCAAUGAAAAGAGGUUGUUUUUGACGAGUGUGAAAGGAAAACCAGUCUUUUCAGAGUAGAGUUAUAAAAUGGAAAGGAGGGAUAGAGGCUUGCACUACAUCAGUUAAUGGACUGUGUGUAGUGAGUCAUAAGCUUCAGAAGAAAAUUGACAUGAAAAUACCAAUAACUAGGUGUACUCAGUCAGGUCCUCUGGUGAUCUGCAUAUACUGUAGACUGUCAACAGACAAACACAGUAAAUUGUCCCUUUGCUUAUGA
Long non-coding RNA from Cyprinus carpio carpio, 1293 nucleotides. Lineage: Eukaryota; Metazoa; Chordata; Actinopteri; Cypriniformes; Cyprinidae. The record is from Ensembl.